CGACUACGAGUUUGAUCAUGGCUCAGGAUGAACGCUAGCGGCGGGCCUAAUACAUGCAAGUUGAACGAGAUUGUUGGUAGCAAUACUGACAUGAAAGUGGCGCACGGGUGCGUAACACGUAUGUAACCUACCUUUAACUGGGGGCAUAGCUUCGAGAAAUCGAAAUUAAUACCCCAUAACAUUUAGAAAAGGCAUCUUUUCUUUAUCAAAGUUCCGGCGGUUAAAGAUGGACAUGCGGUGCAUUAGCUUGUUGGUGAGGUAACGGCUCGCCAAGGCUACGAUGCAUAGGGGGUCUGAGAGGAUGAUCCCCCACACUGGUACUGAGACACGGACCAGACUCCUACGGGAGGCAGCAGUAGGGAAUAUUGGGCAAUGGACGAAAGUCUGACCCAGCCACGCCGCGUGAAGGAUGACUGCCCUAUGGGUUGUAAACUUCUUUUGUAUGGGAAGAAAAUUCCGAACGUGUUCGGAGCUGACGGUACCAUAAGAAUAAGCAUCGGCUAACUCCGUG
Molecule: ribosomal RNA, 511 nt
Filed under: uncultured bacterium
Lineage: Bacteria
Description: bacterial SSU rRNA
Rfam family: Bacterial small subunit ribosomal RNA
Source: RNAcentral